Molecule: long non-coding RNA, 1653 nt
Filed under: Apteryx haastii (Great spotted kiwi)
Lineage: Eukaryota; Metazoa; Chordata; Aves; Apterygiformes; Apterygidae
Description: lncRNA (ENSAHAG00000005291.1)
Source: RNAcentral
AUGCCCACUCCCAAGCCCACUGACGGGCUCCCGGGCGAACAGGAGGGCAGCCAGGUGAGCCAUGCCGCUGCAGGGCAAGGCCAGCAAGGGACACGGCACCCGCACACACAGCGAGAGGCCCGUGGGGAAGGGGAGCCGGGGCGAGACAGCCAGCCUGGAGCUCCUCCAGCAGUGGAGGAGAUUCAUUCCUGCCUCGGGGCAUUUUCUCUCAGGCACGGCUCCCUCAUGCAGACACCCCAAGGCCCACACAGCCACACAGAGACCAGCUCUGGGCUGAGCUCAGCCUGGCCAAGCUCAGCCAGCAGGUUCCCUUGGAAAUGGGGCUGGGCUUUCCRGCACYUYGGGGCCACGCCUGCCAAAGCCACCACAUCCGUCAUGCAUCUUCUCCCCACAGGUGUACCACACGGAGCCGCUCGCAGCCACGAAGCAUGGCCACACCCCGGCUUCGUCCCACCGGGACASGCUGCCCUCGCUCCCCACCCCAAAGCUCUCACAGGACAACGCACACAGCAGCCAAAAGGUACGCAGGUGAACAGAGACCGUGCUCGAGCCUCUUUGCGGCUCCUCGGAGCUGCCGAUAACCGCAGGGGACGGUCCUGCAAGACAACAGGACGGCCCCAGCACCCCCCCGCAGGCCCACCGCCUGCUACGCACGGCGGUCUGCAAAGCCACCCCUCAGGGCCUCCCUUGCCCCGCGCUACACAAGCCCUCUCCCAGGACGGCUCUUGCGAGCGCGGUGGCAGCGGCCGUCGUGGGUUCGUGGGGGAGCUGCCACCAGGUCUCGUGGCAGGGGCUGCAGGACGUCUGGCAGCUGAGAAGGACAGAGCGUGGUGGGGAAGGACCGCAGUAACUCGGCCCUUCUUGGUUGCUUCUCUUGCAGAGCGACAGGGUGUCCCCACAGGGUCACACCACACACCUGCCCAGGCUGAGCCAUGGAGGGCUGAGCACUCCACUCGAGGGCACCACGACACAGGUGCUGCACCGCACACCAGCCGUGGAGGCGAUGGCCCCCUACAAUGGAAAGGUCACGCAGGUGGCACACAACAUUGUCACCAACACCCUCCACGCAGCCCUCGACGCAGCUCACGAUCCCCGCGCCUCCAUGUUACAGAAGGCUCCCUCAGAGCGCCGGCAGGGACCCCAUCUGCUCUGCUCUCUGCCUCCCCCAAACAAGGCGGCAGCCAGCGCUGGGCUGUCCCUGGACACACCACGGGCAGCUCAAAUGCCAGGAUUGCCAGCUGGAGACAAGCUGCCCCGUUUGCAAACGGCCCAGGGGCCUUCUCCCAGGACCAGCGCAAAUGCCGCACGCAGAGGAGACCUGAACAACGAUACCAUCAGCGCGGCAAAAAACGUCCUGAAGAGGCUGACUGCCUCUCAGCUACCCGAGCAGGAUGCUCAUGGCCUCCUCAGCACCAGCAAAGAGCCACCUUACAGAGCAGUGCUGGGAAAGCCAAGCACACCGCAUGGCCAAGGCCGCAGCAUAACUCUUCCCCCAAUCACCGGGAAGACUUCAGCACACUCCCCUUUUCCUGGGGGAGACAAGAGCCUUCCCCAAGGGGACAGCCAAGGCAGGCCAGCACACAAGGAGCACGACGAGCCAUUGGUGACCUCUCCCAUUGCACCAAGGCUGCCACAGCCCCUGCCUCCGAUUGA